GAUGAACGCUGGCGGCGUGCCUAAUACAUGCAAGUCGAACGCGCAGCGAAAGGUGCUUGCACCUUUCAAGCGAGUGGCGAACGGGUGAGUAACACGUGGAUAACCUGCCUCAAGGCUGGGGAUAACAUUUGGAAACAGAUGCUAAUACCGAAUAAAACUUAGUAUCGCAUGAUACAAAGUUAAAAGGCGCUACGGCGUCACCUAGAGAUGGAUCCGCGGUGCAUUAGUUAGUUGGUGGGGUAAAGGCUUACCAAGACGAUGAUGCAUAGCCGAUUUGAGAGACUGAUGGGCCACAUUGGGCCUGAGACACGGCCCAAACUCCUCCGGGAGGCUGCAGUAGGGAAUCUUCCACAAUGGGCGCAAGCCUGAUGGAGCAACGCCGCGUGUGUGAUGAAGGCUUUCGGGUCGUAAAGCACUGUUGUAUGGGAAGAAAUGCUAAAAUAGGGAAUGAUUUUAGUUUGACGGUACCAUACCAGAAAGGGACGGCUAAAUACGUGCCAGCCGCCGCCGUAA
Molecule: ribosomal RNA, 513 nt
Filed under: uncultured bacterium
Lineage: Bacteria
Description: partial 16S ribosomal RNA
Rfam family: Bacterial small subunit ribosomal RNA
Source: RNAcentral